CUGGUCUCACAUGGUGGAUAGA
Molecule: microRNA, 22 nt
Filed under: Capitella teleta
Lineage: Eukaryota; Metazoa; Annelida; Polychaeta; Capitellidae
Description: Cte-Mir-29-P1_5p* (star (passenger))
Source: RNAcentral